UUGGAGGGCAAGUCUGGUGCCAGCAGCCGCGGUAAUUCCAGCUCCAAUAGCGUAUAUUAAAGUUGUUGCAGUUAAAAAGCUCGUAGUUGAAUUUCGGGGUUAGUAGGUUGGUCGUGCCUCAGGUAUGUACUGAUCUCACUGAUUCCUCCUUCCUGAUGAACCGUAAUGCCAUUAAUUUGGUGUUGCGGGGAAUCUGGACUGUUACUUUGAAAAAAUUAGAGUGUUUAAAGCAGGCUAACGCUUGAAUACAUUAGCAUGGAAUAAUGAAAUAGGACGAUCGAUCCUAUUUUGUUGGUUUCUAGGAUUGACGUAAUGAUUAAUAGGGAUAGUUGGGGGCAUUAGUAUUCAAUUGUCAGAGGUGAAAUUCUUGGAUUUAUUGAAGACUAACUACUGCGAAAGCAUUUGCCAAGGAUGUUUUCAUUAAUCAAGAACGAAAGUUAGGGGAUCGAAGACGAUCAGAUACCGUCGUAGUCUUAACCAUAAACUAUGCCGACUAGGGAUCGGAUGAUGUUAAUUUUUUAAUGACUCAUUCGGCGCCUUACGGGAAA
This 548-nucleotide ribosomal RNA is filed under the name uncultured Glomeromycotina. RNAcentral's name for it is "SSU rRNA". It matches the Rfam family "Eukaryotic small subunit ribosomal RNA", at positions 548 to 1097 of the family's 1831-position model. Lineage: Eukaryota; Fungi; Glomeromycota. The record is from RNAcentral.